Molecule: long non-coding RNA, 2314 nt
Filed under: Eucalyptus grandis
Lineage: Eukaryota; Viridiplantae; Streptophyta; Magnoliopsida; Myrtales; Myrtaceae
Description: long non-coding RNA (EGRA_LNC005000)
Source: RNAcentral
UUAUUUCAUAAACGGAAACGUAAUAAUAACCUCCAAACAACACAGAGAUAGGAUAGCAAAUAUAGGAUUAUAUUUACACUAAACAUACAUAUUUUUACAAGAGUGUUUACACACAUAAAAGUCUAGCAUGACAAGGAUCUGUUUCAAAAAGGAGAGCUUCUAGGCUAUCUAUGCUCCGAACUCCUCGUCCAUGGGAACAGGGUCCUAGGCGAUCCCGUCAGACUUAUCGAUAACAAAAGCGUAAGUUGUCACCCAGUGUCCAAACUAGAUGGAAGACCCAUCGACUCCUGACAGAAACUAAACUAAGACCUAACUUUCACUUCCUUCGACUCCCUGUACUCCUCUUGAAAAUCCUCCAUCUAAGGACUUGAAAUAUUUUAGCCCACAACGGGGUGAGAUUACAUCUCAGCGAGUUAAUCCCCUAAAUCCCGAGUAGGAGAAGGGUACACUCUACAUGCAACCUAGUCACGUUUCUCAACUUUUAAAAUAUCAACAUUUUCCUGUACGUUAGUGUCAAUCAAAUCAUACAUAACAGUAUCGAGUUCACACAUCAUAUGAAUACCUUAACAUGAGUAUAUGCAAAGACAUAAAUAUCAAUGUAAGCAUACGGGCCAUAGUUAAUGCAAUAAAUAACAGUCUUCUGGCAUAACCGGGCAUCGUCUUGCAUCGUCGAGCAUGGCAAUGUCUAUACUCAGACGGCAUUCCGAUUAGGAGUAUCGGUCCGGCAUCCACUACGACCGGCAUCCGUUGACUUGGGGCAUUCCCGAAGGAGCAUCGUCCGGCCCCAAAGGCUUGUGACGGAUUCUCAAGUAGCAUAUGUAAUUUUGUUCCAUUUCAUCAUCCAACAAUUAGUUGUGUAUAUCAGCCAUAUCACCAAAUAAGCAAAUUUCCAACAAAUAUGUCAUCAAAACCAAUCACACGUUACUAGCUAUUUUAACCGGUAAAACUACCUAUUUGCGCACUUCAGAAUUUAGCACCAGAAAUCAACUUAGAUGAAUUCGAAAAAUUCUCAAACUUGGACAUGUGACAAAGAACAUGUAAAAAAAUAAUUUUCAUAAAGACACUGAGGCCCAGAUCCCUUUGGAUUCGGCCUAGUAAUUCCCUCAACCCAGCACCAAAACCGGUUCCUUUUCCAGCGAGUCUGUUUUCCGAAAUCAGCUUAAAUCGGGGUCCGAAAUAGGUCCGUUUAAUUUGAAAUUUGAGUAUGUUAAAUUAGAAGAUAUAAUGAAUAACUUUUGUGAAGAAACCAUAUGAAAAUUCGAACCCUAAGGAUCCGCAAAGACCCGUAAAAUCCUUACAGGUCAGGAUUUACAGUGCAGUCCGACUUUCUAUUUAUAGCUAACGGAGCUAAAAUCGUAUUCUUUUUAAUUCCUAAAAAUCCUGAGAAAAUUAUAUGUUAUAAUUAAAGGUGUCUAAAACAUUUCCUUAGAAUAAAUUCACUUCAAAAUCGCAACACAUCUCUGUCUACAAAAAUAACAAACUGCACACGUCUAGCAAUCAAUUAUGGAGCACAGUUUCUGUUCUUAGCCAAAUUGUCUUCUACAGUGUUGAUCUUGUUAUGUAAACGAAAACUAAGCCAUUCUAUGGCUAAUAUAACCUUUCUAAACUAACACUAAACUAUAUUUAAUCUCAUCUAAACCUUUCUUAGCUAAUUUCAACUCCUCAAUAGAGGUACAUAGCCCCUAUUCUAGUUUUAGGAAAACAACUCACCAACGCUAAAACCACGCAUUUCUUGUGCCGGUGAUGAGGUCUCCACUCCAAGAGGUGCUGGGAUACCUCAAGAUGGCUCUUCUCAGGUCGGCGAGGCUCUCGGCCUACUGCUGAGAAGCCGAUUCCUCAGCUGAGUCGGACCGAGCAGGAACAGCAGGGGUUUCUUGGAGGCGAGGCGGCGAGUGUUUUGCUCGAACGGGGGGUUGCACCGGCGAGGGAGGAGUCCUAACAGCGAGACAGCAGCAACAGCGAAUUGGGGGCUGCCUCCGGUGAGGAUGGUGAGCUGAAACCGUAGAAGGAUGGGUUGUUGGUUGGCGGGGACAAUUGUGGAAGGAGCUGUUCAGUUUUUGGUACAAAAAAGCAGGAGUUAUGCAAUUUUUGGAGGACUCAGAGCUUGUUGGUGACAAUGGUUCGUCCUCAAAUAAAGGCCACAACCAAGAAAAACGAAGCAUGGAGGUAGUUGGGUCGAAGCUUCUAUGGGUCUAGAAAAUUUGUAACGUCAAGACCACGCCUUCCUCUGUUUUCUUGUUGUUGGUUUGUCGUCUAAGGGGAAAUAGGGGAGGCCGAAUAUCCUAGUGUAAAGAAGAAGAAGACAAGGCUUUUU